This 483-nucleotide ribosomal RNA is filed under the name uncultured alpha proteobacterium CHAB-III-5. RNAcentral's name for it is "bacterial SSU rRNA". It matches the Rfam family "Bacterial small subunit ribosomal RNA", at positions 24 to 554 of the family's 1533-position model. The record is from RNAcentral. Lineage: Bacteria; Pseudomonadati; Pseudomonadota; Alphaproteobacteria.
UCAGAACGAACGCUGGCGGCAGGCCUAACACAUGCAAGUCGAGCGCACCUUCGGGUGAGCGGCGGACGGGUUAGUAACGCGUGGGAACGUACCCUUUUCUACGGAAUAGCCUUUGGAAACGAAGAGUAAUACCGUAUACGCCCUUUGGGGGAAAGAUUUAUCGGAGAAGGAUCGGCCCGCGUCAGAUUAGAUAGUUGGUGGGGUAACGGCCUACCAAGUCUACGAUCUAUAGCUGGUUUUAGAGGAUGAUCAGCMACACUGGGACUGAGACACGGCCCAGACUCCUACGGGAGGCAGCAGUGGGGAAUCUUAGACAAUGGGCGCAAGCCUGAUCUAGCCAUGCCGCGUGAGUGAUGAAGGCCUUASGGUCGUAAAGCUCUUUCGCCUGGUGAUGAUAAUGACAGUAGCAGGUAAAGAAACCCCGGCUAACUCCCUGCCAGCAGCCCCGGUAAUACGGAGGGGGUUAGCGUUGUUCGGAAUUAC